This 426-nucleotide ribosomal RNA is filed under the name uncultured prokaryote. Its description in RNAcentral is "bacterial SSU rRNA". It matches the Rfam family "Bacterial small subunit ribosomal RNA", at positions 355 to 796 of the family's 1533-position model. The record is from RNAcentral.
UGGGGAAUUUUCCGCAAUGGGCGAAAGCCUGACGGAGCAAUACCGCGUGAGGGAGGAAUGCCUUUGGGUUGUAAACCUCUUUUCUCAGGGAAGAAUAACUGACGGUACCUGAGGAAUAAGCAUCGGCUAACUCCGUGCCAGCAGCCGCGGUAAUACGGAGGAUGCAAGCGUUAUCCGGAAUCAUUGGGCGUAAAGCGUCCGCAGGUGGUUAAGCAAGUCUGCUGUCAAAGGCCGGGGCUCAACUCCGGACAGGCAGUGGAAACUGCAUGACUAGAGUACGGCAGGGGUAGAGGGAAUUCCCGGUGUAGCGGUGAAAUGCGUAGAUAUCGGGAAGAACACCGGUGGCGAAGGCGCUCUACUGGGCCGUAACUGACACUCAGGGACGAAAGCUAGGGGAGCGAAUGGGAUUAGAUACCCCCGUAGUCC